UGGGGAAUCUUGGACAAUGGGUGAGAGCCUGAUCCAGCCAUGCCGCGUGCAGGAAGAAGGCCUUCUGGGUUGUAAACUGCUUUUGCCGGGGGAUAAAAGGCCCCUGCGGGGGACAUUGAAGGUACCCGGUGAAUAAGCCACGGCUAACUACGUGCCAGCAGCCGCGGUAAUACGUAGGUGGCAAGCGUUGUCUGGAUUUAUUGGGUUUAAAGGGUGCGUAGGCGGCCCCGUAAGUCAGUGGUGAAAUACGGCAGCUCAACUGUCGAGGUGCCAUUGAUACUGCGGGGCUUGAGUAUGGACGAGGUAAGCGGAAUUGACGGUGUAGCGGUGAAAUGCUUAGAUAUCGUCAAGAACACCGAUAGCGAAGGCAGCUUACUAGGCCAUAACUGACGCUGAGGCACGAAGGUGCGGGGAUCAAACAGGAUUAGAUACCCCCGUAGUCCCUGAGCGGGCUGGCAAGGCGCAU
This 466-nucleotide ribosomal RNA is filed under the name uncultured bacterium. RNAcentral's name for it is "bacterial SSU rRNA". It matches the Rfam family "Bacterial small subunit ribosomal RNA", at positions 355 to 825 of the family's 1533-position model. The record is from RNAcentral.